Myotis davidii is the source of this 74-nucleotide non-coding RNA. The record is from Rfam. Lineage: Eukaryota; Metazoa; Chordata; Mammalia; Chiroptera; Vespertilionidae.
GGUGGUUCUUGGGUGUUACACCCUAGAAUUGGCUCCUUCCUCUCUGGUUCAGGGUACAUCACCCGAGAACCACC